This 253-nucleotide ribosomal RNA is filed under the name uncultured bacterium. Its description in RNAcentral is "partial 16S ribosomal RNA". It matches the Rfam family "Bacterial small subunit ribosomal RNA", at positions 524 to 776 of the family's 1533-position model. The record is from RNAcentral.
UACGUAGGGUGCAAGCGUUAAUCGGAAUUACUGGGCGUAAAGCGUGCGCAGGCGGCUUUGCAAGACAGAUGUGAAAUCCCCGGGCUCAACCUGGGAACUGCAUUUGUGACUGCAUGGCUGGAGUGCGGCAGAGGGGGAUGGAAUUCCGCGUGUAGCAGUGAAAUGCGUAGAGAUGUGGAGGAACACCGAUGGCGAAGGCAGCCCCCUGGGCUGAGAUUGACGCUCAGGCACGAAAGCGUGGGGAGCAAACAGG